This 338-nucleotide unclassified non-coding RNA is filed under the name soil metagenome. RNAcentral describes it as "partial contains 5.8S ribosomal RNA, internal transcribed spacer 2, and large subunit ribosomal RNA". The stretch from base 1 to 120 matches the Rfam family "5.8S ribosomal RNA", at positions 35 to 154 of the family's 154-position model. The record is from RNAcentral.
GAUGAAGAACGUAGCGAAAUGCGAUAAGUAAUGUGAAUUGCAGAAUUCAGUGAAUCAUCGAAUCUUUGAACGCACAUUGCGCCAGGUAGUAAUCUGCCGGGCAUGCCUGUUCGAGCGUCAUUUCAACCAUCAAGCCCCAGCGCUUGUGUUGGGGGCCUGCGGCUGCCGCAGCCCCCUAAAAGCAGUGGCGGGCUCGCUAUCACACCGAGUGCAGUAGUUCAUCUUCUCUCCGAUCUUGUGAGGCGGGUUCCGGCCGUGAAACACCCCACUACAUUCAAGGUUGACCUCGGAUCAGGUAGGAAUACCCGCUGAACUUAAGCAUAUCAAUAAGCGGAGGA